Molecule: ribosomal RNA, 253 nt
Filed under: uncultured bacterium
Lineage: Bacteria
Description: partial 16S ribosomal RNA
Rfam family: Bacterial small subunit ribosomal RNA
Source: RNAcentral
AACGUAGGAGACAAACGUUAUCCGGAGUUACUGGGCGUAAAGGGCGUGUAGGUGGUUUCGUAAGUCUGGCGUGAAAUUUCUCGGCUUAACCGAGGCAGGUCGUCGGAUACUGCGGAGCUAGAGGACGGUAGAGGCGUGUGGAAUUCCGGGUGUAGUGGUGAAAUGCGUAGAGAUCCGGAGGAACACCAGUGGCGAAGGCGACACGCUGGGCCGUACCUGACACUGAUGCGCGACAGCAUGGGGAGCAAACAGG